Molecule: ribosomal RNA, 251 nt
Filed under: uncultured bacterium
Lineage: Bacteria
Description: partial 16S ribosomal RNA
Rfam family: Bacterial small subunit ribosomal RNA
Source: RNAcentral
UACGUAGGGGGCAAGCGUUGUCCGGAUUUACUGGGCGUAAAGAGCGCGUAGGCGGAACGUUAAGCGGGGCCGGAAAGCCCCCGGCUCAACCGGGGAAGGGGCCGCGAACUGGCGUUCUUGAGGGGGAGAGGGGAGAGCGGAAUCCUGGUGUAGCGGUGAAAUGCGCAGAUAUCAGGAGGAACACCGGUGGCGAAGGCGGGUCUCUGGGACGGUACUGACGCUGAGACGCGAAAGCGUGGGGAGCGAACAGG